AGUGAACGCUGGCGGUAGGCCUAACACAUGCAAGUCGAACGGCAGCACAGUAAGAGCUUGCUCUUACGGGUGGCGAGUGGCGGACGGGUGAGGAAUACAUCGGAAUCUACUUUUUCGUGGGGGAUAACGUAGGGAAACUUACGCUAAUACCGCAUACGACCUACGGGUGAAAGCAGGGGAUCUUCGGACCUUGCGCGAUUGAAUGAGCCGAUGUCGGAUUAGCUAGUUGGCGGGGUAAAGGCCCACCAAGGCGACGAUCCGUAGCUGGUCUGAGAGGAUGAUGAGCCACACUGGAACUGAGACACGGUCCAGACUCCUACGGGAGGCAGCAGUGGGGAAUAUUGGACGAUGGGCGCAAGCCUGAUCCAGCCAUACCGCGUGGGUGAAGAAGGCCUUCGGGUUGUAAAGCCGUUUUGUUGGGAAAGAAAAGCAGCAGGUUAAUACCCCGCUGUUCUGACGGUACCCAAAGAAUAAGCACCGGCUAACUUCGUG
RNAcentral lists this ribosomal RNA (492 nucleotides) under uncultured bacterium. RNAcentral describes it as "partial 16S ribosomal RNA". It matches the Rfam family "Bacterial small subunit ribosomal RNA", at positions 29 to 507 of the family's 1533-position model. The record is from RNAcentral.